GUUGCACGGUCAGCAUGGCAGUGGCGGACGGGUGAGUAACACGUAGGAAUCUAUCUCUGGGUGGGGGACAACCAUGGGAAACUAUGGCUAAUACCGCAUAGGCCCUACGGGGCAAAGCAGGGGAUCUUCGGACCUUGCGCUAUUGGAUGAGCCUGCGUCGGAUUAGCUAGUUGGUGGGGUAAAGGCCCACCAAGGCGACGAUCCGUAGCUGGUCUGAGAGGAUGAUCAGCCACACUGGGACUGAGACACGGCCCAGACUCCUACGGGAGGCAGCAGUGGGGAAUAUUGGACAAUGGGGGCAACCCUGAUCCAGCAAUGCCGCGUGUGAAGAAGGCCUUCGGGUUGUAAAGCACUUUCGGUAGGGAAGAAAAAAGUUUGGCUAAUAUCCAAGCUCUUGACGGUACCUAAAGAAGAAGCACCGGCUAACUCUGUGCCAGCAGCCGCGGUAAUACGAAGGGGGCUAGCGUUGCUCGGAAUGACUGGGCGUAAAGGGCGCGUAGGCGG
Molecule: ribosomal RNA, 504 nt
Filed under: uncultured bacterium
Lineage: Bacteria
Description: bacterial SSU rRNA
Rfam family: Bacterial small subunit ribosomal RNA
Source: RNAcentral